AGGUAAUUCCUGCCCAGUGACUUAACAAGUUUAACGGCCGCGGUAUCCUAACCGUGCAAAGGUAGCAUAAUCACUUGCCCAUUAAUUGUGGGCUAGAAUGAAAGGAUUCACGAAAUAAACACUGUCUCUAUAAGUACAAUAAAAAUUAAUCUCUAACUGAAGAGUGUUAGAUAUAAUCGAAGGACAAGAAGACCCUAUAGAGCUUUAUUUUAAUAAAACCUAAUAAUUUUUUCUAUAAUUCGGUUGGGGCGACCAGGGAAAUAAUAAAUCAUCCCUUUAUAAAAGAUAACUUAAUCUUAGCUAUGACCCUUAAUAAAGAUCAAAAGACCAAGCUACCUUAGGGAUAACAGGCUAAUCCCAUUAAAGAGUCCUUAUCAAUAAUGGGGUUUGGCACCUCGAUGUUGGCUUAGGGAAUCUAUGUGGCGCAAAAGUCACAUAAAGAUGGUUUGUUCAACCAAUAAUACCCU
This 467-nucleotide ribosomal RNA is filed under the name Bimastos palustris. Its description in RNAcentral is "partial 16S ribosomal RNA". It matches the Rfam family "Bacterial large subunit ribosomal RNA", at positions 1850 to 2597 of the family's 2925-position model. The record is from RNAcentral. Lineage: Eukaryota; Metazoa; Annelida; Clitellata; Crassiclitellata; Lumbricidae.